RNAcentral lists this unclassified non-coding RNA (18 nucleotides) under Chlamydomonas reinhardtii. RNAcentral's name for it is "small RNA Cre_3556". Lineage: Eukaryota; Viridiplantae; Chlorophyta; Chlorophyceae; Chlamydomonadales; Chlamydomonadaceae. The record is from RNAcentral.
UGUGAGCGCAAUCAGCGG